GGGGAUAUAGUUAAUAAUAACAACCGGGUUGCAUCUGGUAGAUACCUAAUGGGUUUUCCUCA
RNAcentral lists this transfer RNA (62 nucleotides) under Occasjapyx japonicus. RNAcentral's name for it is "tRNA-Ala". The record is from RNAcentral. Lineage: Eukaryota; Metazoa; Arthropoda; Diplura; Dicellurata; Japygidae.